UGGGCUCGCGCGCGCAUUCUAUGGCAAUCCGCGCCUAAUGGUUCUCGAUGAACCAAAUUCAAAUCUAGAUGCGAAUGGCGAGCGGGCGCUGGCCAAGGCGCUCAUUCGUGCAAAAGAGAAGCAGAUAACGGUCGUGACGAUCACGCAGCGUGCCGCGCUUCUUAGGAGCGUCGACAAGAUCAUGAUCCUCAACAAUGGCGCGGUUCAGGCGUUCGGCACGCGCGACGAGAUCAUCCCGCUCAUUUCCGGAC
RNAcentral lists this unclassified non-coding RNA (251 nucleotides) under Hevea brasiliensis (rubber tree). Lineage: Eukaryota; Viridiplantae; Streptophyta; Magnoliopsida; Malpighiales; Euphorbiaceae. The record is from RNAcentral.